CAGAUGGUGCUGUUAGAAGUAACAGGUAAAAGGGAAACAGGUGCGAAUCCUGUACGAUCUCGUCACUGUAAUUAGGGAAUGCAAAUCAUUGAUUGAUGUAUGCAGAUGAUACAAAAUAUUUUAAUCUGCGCACAAUUUAAGCCACUGCCCGGAACGUCUCCGCCAGGCGCGACCGGUUGGGAAGGCAGAUUUGUAUGAUGAUCUAUAAGCCAGGAAACCUGCCAUUUUGU
This 230-nucleotide non-coding RNA is filed under the name bovine gut metagenome. The record is from RNAcentral.